GCAACGAGCGCAACCCCUGCAUCCAGUUGCCAUCGGGCGAGCCGGGCACUCUGGAGGGACUGCCGGCGACAAGCCGGAGGAAGGUAGGGGAGUGACGUCAAGUACAUCAUGGCCUUACUGUCCAGGGCGACACACGUGCUACAAUGGCCGGCACAGCGGGAAGCGGAGGGGCGACCCUGAGCGGAUCCCUUGAAAGCCGGUCCCAGUUCGGAUUGCAGUCUGCAACUCGACUGCAUGAAGUUGGAAUCGCUAGUAAUCGCGGAUCAGCCAAGCCGCGGUGAAUACGUUCCCGGGCCUU
Molecule: ribosomal RNA, 298 nt
Filed under: uncultured Thermovirga sp.
Lineage: Bacteria; Thermotogati; Synergistota; Synergistia; Synergistales; Thermovirgaceae
Description: partial 16S ribosomal RNA
Rfam family: Bacterial small subunit ribosomal RNA
Source: RNAcentral